This 279-nucleotide ribosomal RNA is filed under the name uncultured bacterium. Its description in RNAcentral is "partial 16S ribosomal RNA". It matches the Rfam family "Bacterial small subunit ribosomal RNA", at positions 506 to 784 of the family's 1533-position model. The record is from RNAcentral.
UGCCAGCCGCCGCGGUAAUACGGAGGGUGCAAGCGUUGCCCGGAUUUACUGGGUUUAAAGGGUACGUAGGCGGCUAAUUAAGUCAGUGGUGAAAUGUGUCGGCUCAACCGGCAACGUGCCAUUGAAACUGAAUAGCUGGAGUGUUGUAUAGGUGGGCGGAAUUGAUGGUGUAGCGGUGAAAUGCAUAGAUACCAUCAAGAACACCAAUUGCGAAGGCAGCUCACUAAGCUACGAUUGACGCUGAGGCACGAAAGCGUGGGGAGCGAACAGGAUUAGAUA